GCCAGCCCGCUCAGAACUCAAAGGAAUUGACGGGGCCCGCACAAGCGGUGGAGCAUGUGGUUUAAUUCGAUGAUACGCGAGGAACCUUACCUGGGCUCAAAUGUAUGUUGACGUAUUCUGAAAGGGAUACUUCUUCGGACAAUAUACAAGGUGCUGCAUGGUUGUCGUCAGCUCGUGCCGUGAGGUGUCGGGUUAAGUCCCCAUAAACGAGCGCAACCCCUACCUUUAGUUGCCAUCAGGUUAAGCUGGGGACUCUAAAGGAACUGCCUACGCAAGUAGUGAGGAAGGCGGGGAUGACGUCAAAUCAGCACGGCCCUUACGUCCAGGGCUACACACGUGCUACAAUGGCCGAUACAGAGGGCAGCUACCUGGUGACAGGAUGCAAAUCUCCAAAGUCGGUCUCAGUUCGGAUCGGAGUCUGCAACCCGACUCCGUGAAGUUGGAUUCGCUAGUAAUCGCGCAUCAGCCAUGGCGCGGUGAAUACGUUCCCGGGCCUU
This 497-nucleotide ribosomal RNA is filed under the name uncultured Sphingobacteriales bacterium. RNAcentral describes it as "bacterial SSU rRNA". It matches the Rfam family "Bacterial small subunit ribosomal RNA", at positions 882 to 1382 of the family's 1533-position model. The record is from RNAcentral. Lineage: Bacteria; Pseudomonadati; Bacteroidota; Sphingobacteriia; Sphingobacteriales.